UCUAGGCAACAAAGUGAGACCU
This 22-nucleotide microRNA is filed under the name Pongo pygmaeus (Bornean orangutan). RNAcentral describes it as "ppy-miR-1285a". The record is from miRBase by way of RNAcentral. Lineage: Eukaryota; Metazoa; Chordata; Mammalia; Primates; Hominidae.